RNAcentral lists this ribosomal RNA (251 nucleotides) under uncultured bacterium. RNAcentral's name for it is "partial 16S ribosomal RNA". It matches the Rfam family "Bacterial small subunit ribosomal RNA", at positions 524 to 776 of the family's 1533-position model. The record is from RNAcentral.
UACGUAGGGACCGAGCGUUGUCCGGAAUCAUUGGGCGUAAAGAGCGUGUAGGCGGCCACUUAAGUCCUGCGUGAAAUCUUGCGGCUCAACCGCAAGCGGUCGUGGAACAUGGUGGCUAGAGUGCGGGAGAGGAGAGUGGAAUUCCUGGUGUAGCGGUGGAAUGCGCAGAUAUCAGGAAGAACACCCGUGGCGAAGGCGGCUCUCUGGAACGCAACUGACGCUGAGACGCGAAAGCGUGGGGAGCAAACAGG